GUUAUACUCCCUCCAUUCGAAAAUACUUGUCCUAAAGUUGAAUGUAUCUAGACUUAUUUUANUUAUAGAUACAUCCAUUAUAUCCAUUUCUGAUACAAGUAUUUCCCGAUGAGGGAGUACUUU
Hordeum vulgare subsp. vulgare (domesticated barley) is the source of this 123-nucleotide non-coding RNA. The record is from Rfam. Lineage: Eukaryota; Viridiplantae; Streptophyta; Magnoliopsida; Poales; Poaceae.